AUACGGAGGAUCCAAGCGUUAUCCGGAAUCAUAGGGUUUAAAGGGUUCGUAGGCGGGUUUAUAAGUCAGUGGUGAAAGUUUGCGGCUCAACCGUAAAAUUGCCAUUGAUACUGUAGAUCUUGAAUUAGUGUGAAGUGAUUAGAAUAAGUAGUGUAGCGGUGAAAUGCAUAGAUAUUACUUAGAAUACCAAUUGCGAAGGCAGGUCACUAACACUAUAUUGACGCUGAGGGACGAAAGCGUGGGGAGCGAACAGGAUUAGAAACCCUAGUAGUCC
Molecule: ribosomal RNA, 274 nt
Filed under: uncultured bacterium
Lineage: Bacteria
Description: partial 16S ribosomal RNA
Rfam family: Bacterial small subunit ribosomal RNA
Source: RNAcentral